UGGGGCCCUUAUUCCGCUUCAGAAUUCUAGCGGUAUCCAUCCUUUCUUCGAGUGCCCUGAAUCUCAUGGCGUCUCCUUGGGACAUAGGCGCCCUUCGAGUCGUCCCUGUCCUCGCCCCUCUGCAUCUCUCAGAGCGAUCUAGGUUAGUCCUGGAACCUCCGCCUCUCUUUUCGCCAUCUAGGAGCCUUUUCUUUGCCAUUUUCUUUUGUCGUAUUCCUCCGAGUUAGUC
RNAcentral lists this long non-coding RNA (229 nucleotides) under Elaeis guineensis (African oil palm). RNAcentral's name for it is "long non-coding RNA (EGUI_LNC082447)". Lineage: Eukaryota; Viridiplantae; Streptophyta; Magnoliopsida; Arecales; Arecaceae. The record is from RNAcentral.